UGGGGAAUAUUGCACAAUGGAGGAAACUCUGAUGCAGCGACGCCGCGUGAGUGAAGAAGGUCUUCGGAUCGUAAAACUCUGGCCUGGGUGACGAAAAAAAUGACGGUAGCCAAGGAGGAAGCCCCGGCUAACUACGUGCCAGCAGCCGCGGUAAUACGUAGGGGGCGAGCGUUGUCCGGAUUUACUGGGCGUAAAGGGGGAGUAGGCGGUAAUAUGUGUCAGAUGUAAAAGGCUAUGGCUUAACCAUAGUUGGCAUUUGAAACUGUAUUACUUGAGUGCAGGAGAGGUAAGUGGAAUUCCUAGUGUAGCGGUGAAAUGCGUAGAUAUUAGGAGGAACACCAGUGGCGAAGGCGACUUACUGGACUGUAACUGACGCUGAGUCACGAAAGCGUGGGUAGCAAACA
Molecule: ribosomal RNA, 404 nt
Filed under: uncultured bacterium
Lineage: Bacteria
Description: bacterial SSU rRNA
Rfam family: Bacterial small subunit ribosomal RNA
Source: RNAcentral